RNAcentral lists this ribosomal RNA (253 nucleotides) under uncultured bacterium. RNAcentral describes it as "partial 16S ribosomal RNA". It matches the Rfam family "Bacterial small subunit ribosomal RNA", at positions 524 to 776 of the family's 1533-position model. The record is from RNAcentral.
UACGAAGGGAGCUAGCGUUGUUCGGAAUCACUGGGCGUAAAGCGCACGUAGGCGGAUGUGUCAGUCAGGGGUGAAAUCCCGGAGCUCAACUUCGGAACUGCCUUUGAUACAGCACGUCUUGAGUCCGAUAGAGGUGGGUGGAAUUCCUAGUGUAGAGGUGAAAUUCGUAGAUAUUGGGAAGAACACCGGUGGCGAAGGCGGCGACCUGGUCCGAUACUGACGCUGAGGCGCGAAAGCGUGGGGAGCAAACAGG